UAAGGAAUAUUGGUCAAUGGAGGCAACUCUGGACCAGCCAUGCCGCGUGCAGGAAGAAGGCCCUAUGGGUCGUAAACUGCUUUUGAACAAGAGAAAACCCCGGUACGUGUACUGGGUUGAUAGUAUUGUUAGAAUAAGCAUCGGCUAACUUCGUGCCAGCAGCCGCGGUAAGACGAAGGAUGCAAGCGUUAUCCGGAUUCAUUGGGUUUAAAGGUGCGUAGGCGGACUGAUAAGUCAGUGGUGAAAUCUCUCGGCUUAACCGAGAAACUGCCAUUGAUACUGUUAGUCUAGAGUACAGAUGAUGUGGGCGGAAUAUGACAUGUAGUGGUGAAAUACUUAGAUAUGUCAUAGAACACCGAUUGCGAAGGCAGCUCACAAAACUGUAACUGACGCUGAGGCACGAAAGUGCGGGGAUCAAACAGGAUUAGAUACCCACGUAGUCCCUGAGCGGGCUGGCAAGGCGCAU
Molecule: ribosomal RNA, 466 nt
Filed under: uncultured bacterium
Lineage: Bacteria
Description: bacterial SSU rRNA
Rfam family: Bacterial small subunit ribosomal RNA
Source: RNAcentral